This 26-nucleotide non-coding RNA is filed under the name Rattus norvegicus (Norway rat). Lineage: Eukaryota; Metazoa; Chordata; Mammalia; Rodentia; Muridae. The record is from RNAcentral.
UAUGGGUUUUGCUAUUACAGUCAGUC